UCUAACGUGGCAGAAUAUAUGCAAUGAAUUUAAGAUUCAUAUAUAAAUACUUGUAUUUCUUUAGAA
Molecule: transfer RNA, 66 nt
Filed under: Hyphinoe asphaltina
Lineage: Eukaryota; Metazoa; Arthropoda; Insecta; Hemiptera; Membracidae
Description: tRNA-Leu
Source: RNAcentral